This 702-nucleotide ribosomal RNA is filed under the name uncultured bacterium. Its description in RNAcentral is "bacterial SSU rRNA". It matches the Rfam family "Bacterial small subunit ribosomal RNA", at positions 60 to 760 of the family's 1533-position model. The record is from RNAcentral.
AGUCGAACGAAGCGCCUGCGGCGGACCCCUCCGGGGGAAAGCCGCGGGGGACUGAGUGGCGGACGGGUGAGCAACGCGUGGGCAACCUGCCCCGUACCGGGGGACAACAGCCGGAAACGGCUGCUAAUACCGCAUAUUCCCGCGGGGCCGCAUGGCCCUGCGGGGAAAGCUCCGGCAGUACGGGAUGGGCCCGCGUCUGAUUAGCUUGUUGGCGGGGUAACGGCCCACCAAGGCUGCGAUCAGUAGCCGGCCUGAGAGGGCGGCCGGCCACAUUGGGACUGAGACACGGCCCAGACUCCUGCGGGAGGCAGCAGUGGGGGAUAUUGCACAAUGGGGGGAACCCUGAUGCAGCGACGCCGCGUGAACGAAGAAAUAUUUCGGUAUGUAAAGUUCUAUCAGCAGGGAAGAAAAUGACAGUACCUGACCAAGAAGCCCCGGCUAACUACGUGCCAGCAGCCGCGGUAAUACGUAGGGGGCGAGCGUUAUCCGGAUUCACUGGGCGUAAAGGGAGCGCAGGCGGCACGGCAAGUCCGGUGUGAAAGCCCGGGGCCCAACCCCGGGACUGCACUGGAAACUGCCGGGCUGGAGUGUCGGAGGGGCAGGCGGAAUUCCUAGUGUAGCGGUGAAAUGCGUAGAUAUUAGGGGGAACACCGGUGGCGAAGGCGGCCUGCUGGACGACGACUGACGCUGAGGCUCGAAAGC